GUGCCAGCAGCCGCGGUAAUACGUAGGGGGCAAGCGUUGUUCGGAAUCACUGGGCUUAAAGGGCGUGUAGGCGGAAUGGUAGGUCCUUCGUGAAAUCCCCCGGCUCAACCGGGGAAUUGCGGGGGAAACCCCCAUUCUUGAGGCAGGUAGAGGCGACUGGAACGUGUGGUGGAGCGGUGAAAUGCGUAGAUAUCACACGGAACGCCGGUGGCGAAAGCGGGUCGCUGGGCCUGUCCUGACGCUGAGACGCGAAAGCGUGGGGAGCAAACAGGAUUAGAUACCCCGGUAGUCC
Molecule: ribosomal RNA, 292 nt
Filed under: uncultured bacterium
Lineage: Bacteria
Description: partial 16S ribosomal RNA
Rfam family: Bacterial small subunit ribosomal RNA
Source: RNAcentral